Molecule: ribosomal RNA, 357 nt
Filed under: uncultured bacterium
Lineage: Bacteria
Description: bacterial SSU rRNA
Rfam family: Bacterial small subunit ribosomal RNA
Source: RNAcentral
AACGAACGCUGGCGGCAGGCUUAACACAUGCAAGUCGAACGGUUGUAGCAAUACAGCAGUGGCAGACGGGUGAGUAACACGUGGGAACCUUCCUAGGGGUACGGAACAACUCAGGGAAACUUGAGCUAAUACCGUAUACGUCCGUGAGGAGAAAGAUUUAUCGCCCUUAGACGGGCCCGCGUAGGAUUAGGUAGUUGGUGGGUAAUGGCCUACCAAGCCUACGAUCCUUAGCUGAUCUGAGAGGANGAUCAGCCACACUGGGACUGAGACACGGCCCAGACUCCUACGGGAGGCAGCAGUGGGGAAUCUUGGACAAUGGGCGCAAGCCUGAUCCAGCCAUGCCGCGUGAGUGAAGAA